This 181-nucleotide non-coding RNA is filed under the name Opitutia bacterium. Its description in RNAcentral is "6S RNA". It matches the Rfam family "6S / SsrS RNA". Rfam says of the family: E. coli 6S RNA was the first non coding RNA to be sequenced, but its function was unknown until recently. It consists of 184 nucleotides that fold into an extended hairpin structure with a large single-stranded internal bulge. Lineage: Bacteria; Pseudomonadati; Verrucomicrobiota; Opitutia. The record is from RNAcentral.
ACAACCCUGCAGUGUUCGAGACUAAACGGAGUUCUGUCCUUUACUCUUUUAAAAUCGGGAGCUGAAACCUUGAAGGUGGCUGUCCAGCCGUCAACCGGAAGGCAAAAACUGCCAAGGAAGCGCCCACCUUAAUCUUAAAAGGCCUAAGAACUCCCCCUUAUACGGCACAUGUGGGGCCUCA